RNAcentral lists this ribosomal RNA (457 nucleotides) under uncultured Rhizobiaceae bacterium. RNAcentral's name for it is "bacterial SSU rRNA". It matches the Rfam family "Bacterial small subunit ribosomal RNA", at positions 934 to 1382 of the family's 1533-position model. Lineage: Bacteria; Pseudomonadati; Pseudomonadota; Alphaproteobacteria; Hyphomicrobiales; Rhizobiaceae. The record is from RNAcentral.
GGAGUAUGUGGUUUAAUUCGAUGCAACGCGAAGAACCUUACCUGGUCUUGACAUCCCGGAGACCCUUAGGAAACGUAAGGGGGUUGGCUUCCAUCUGGAAGAAUCUGGAGACAGGUGCUGCAUGGCUGUCGUCAGCUCGUGUCGUGAGAUGUUGGGUUAAGUCCCGUAGCGAGCGCAACCCUCGCCCUUAGUUGCCAGCAUUUAGUCGGGCACUCUAAGGGGACUGCCGGUGAUAAGCCGAGAGGAAGGUGGGGAUGACGUCAAGUCCUCAUGGCCCUUACGGGCUGGGCUACACACGUGCUACAAUGGUGGUGACAGUGGGCAGCGAGCACGCGAGUGUGAGCUAAUCUCCAAAAGCCAUCUCAGUUCGGAUUGCACUCUGCAACUCGAGUGCAUGAAGUUGGAAUCGCUAGUAAUCGUGAAUCAGAAUGUCACGGUGAAUACGUUCCCGGGCCUU